This 302-nucleotide RNase P RNA is filed under the name Candidatus Daviesbacteria bacterium. RNAcentral describes it as "RNase P RNA component class A". It matches the Rfam family "Bacterial RNase P class A". Rfam says of the family: Ribonuclease P (RNase P) is a ubiquitous endoribonuclease, found in archaea, bacteria and eukarya as well as chloroplasts and mitochondria. Its best characterised activity is the generation of mature 5'-ends of tRNAs by cleaving the 5'-leader elements of precursor-tRNAs. The record is from RNAcentral. Lineage: Bacteria; Candidatus Daviesiibacteriota.
CUAGGAAGCUGGAUGAUAGUCCGACAUACCGUCGGACAGGAAAGUCCAGACAGCAUAGAGCAGGGUGUCAGGCGUAAGCCUGAUCGGGUAACCGCAAGUUAGAGCAACAGUGACGAAUCCCGCCGUAAGGCGGGGGUGAAACGCCGAAAGCCGUAAGGCUGUAGGUCCUGAGAGAAAUCGAAGGAGGCAAUCCUCCCCGCUGCAAUCCUAGAAUCAGUUGAGCUGCUCGCUCGACAACUGGAAUCAGGAGCUUAGAUAAAUUUCAUCUAGAACAAAAUCUGGCUUACAGGCUCCCUAGGCAC